AUUACUAUUAUAAACUGAUUUAUUCUUUGUAGAAACCUAUUUUAUUUUUAAUUUGAGAAAUUUUAAUACAAUUAUUUACGUUAAAAUUCCUAAAAAUAUGUGUACAGGUUUUGAAGCUGAGUGAGAGACACAUUCUUUUCCUAGACUCCUUAUUCCAUAAACAUCCGGAAGCCUCAGUUGGCUUUGGCGACCAACGAUACAUUCAGAUUUGCAGUGAUCUGGCGCAGAGGAUUCUUCCAGGAGAAUGGACUGUGAUCCACAGCAAGGACAUCAAAGGUCUCCCAAGACAGACAGAUGGCAAUGCCUGUGGUAUCUUUAUGUUAAUGUAUGCUCUUUACAUCGUGCUGGGGGCAGAUUUUGACUUCACAACUGGCGACAUGGAC
Etheostoma cragini (Arkansas darter) is the source of this 383-nucleotide long non-coding RNA. RefSeq lists it as uncharacterized. The transcript is spliced from 5 exons. The record is from RefSeq and is a predicted model, not a curated record. Lineage: Eukaryota; Metazoa; Chordata; Actinopteri; Perciformes; Percidae.